Molecule: ribosomal RNA, 253 nt
Filed under: uncultured prokaryote
Description: partial 16S ribosomal RNA
Rfam family: Bacterial small subunit ribosomal RNA
Source: RNAcentral
UGGGGAAUAUUGGACAAUGGGGGCAACCCUGAUCCAGCCAUGCCGCGUGAGUGAUGAAGGCCUUAGGGUUGUAAAGCUCUUUCGCCCGCGAAGAUAAUGACGGUAGCGGGAGAAGAAGCCCCGGCUACCUUCGUGCCAGCAGCCGCGGUAAUACGCAGUGGGCUAGCGUUGUUCGGCAUCACUGUGCGUAAAGCGUACGUAGGCGGACGAAUAAGUCAGGGGUGAAAGCCUGGAGCUCAACUCCAGAAAGGCC